UAUUGAUAGUUUCGAUUUCUUUAUCUGAAAAUUGCCUAUUCAUGUCCCUUGUCCAUUUAUCAAUUGGGGAAUGGCUUGAUUUUUUUUUUGUACAAUUUAUUUAGCUCCUUAUAAAUUUGAGUUAUUAGACCUUUGUCAGAGGUUUUUGUUAUAAAAAAAUUUUUGUUGCUUCCCUUCUAAUUUUAGUCCAUUGGUUUUGUUUGUACAAAACCUUUUUAAUUUAAUGUAAUCAAAAUUAUUCAUUUUACAUUUUGUAAUAUUUUCUAUCUCUUCCUUGGUCUUAAAUCUUUCCUUUCCCAUUGAUCUGACAGGUAAACUAUUCUAUGUCCACCUAGUUUACUUAUAGUUUCCUUCUUUGUAUUUAAAUCAUUCACCCCUUCUGAAUUUCUCUUGGUGUUGAUCUAAACCUAAUCUCUCCCAUACUGUUUUCAAAUUUUCCAGAAGUUUUUGUCAAAUAGUGGGGUUUCAUCCCUAAAACUAGGAUCUUUGGGUUUAUCAUACACUGUCUUGCUGAGAUUAUUUACCCCAAGUCCAGUCCACUGAUCCUCCCUUCUUUCUCUUAGCCAGUACCAUAUUGUUUUGAUGGCCACUGCUUUAUAGUACAGUUUAAGAUCUGGCACUGCUAGACUCCCAUCCUUCACUUUUUUUCCCAUUAGUUCCCAUGAUUUUCUUGAUCUUUUGUCCUUCCAAAUGAACUUUGUUAUUCAGAUACCAUGGAACCACAGUUAGGAUAACAAAGGAUCUGGCUGCAUCUACACUGAAGGACUGGAAGGCAUAGAAUAUUAUAUUCCAUAAAGCAAGAGAACUGGGUCUACAACCAAGAAUCAACUACCCAGAAAAACUGACUAUAUUCUUGCAGGGGAGAAUAUGAUCAUUUAAUAAAAUAGAAGACUUUCAAGCAUUCAUAAAGAAAAGGCUGGACCGAAACAUAAAAACUGAUGCCCAAACAAAGAACUCAAGAGAAUCACCAAAAGUGAAAUGUAGGAGAGAAAAGAAAAUAUAUUUAAAAUAAAGAGGUUGGAGGAGUAUUAGAG
RNAcentral lists this long non-coding RNA (1034 nucleotides) under Monodelphis domestica (gray short-tailed opossum). RNAcentral's name for it is "lncRNA (ENSMODG00000050449.1)". The record is from RNAcentral. Lineage: Eukaryota; Metazoa; Chordata; Mammalia; Didelphimorphia; Didelphidae.